RNAcentral lists this unclassified non-coding RNA (451 nucleotides) under Bombus terrestris (buff-tailed bumblebee). RNAcentral describes it as "misc RNA ENSBTSG00005031528.1". The record is from RNAcentral. Lineage: Eukaryota; Metazoa; Arthropoda; Insecta; Hymenoptera; Apidae.
GUUACAUACAGGCGACCCAAAAAUACGUCAAGCGGAUGAGAGAUGGUUCUUUGUGAAAAGAUAAGAGAGAAGUAUACAGUAAAAUUUGUUCGUUCGGGGCUUUGUUUUCGAAAAAAUCAAGUUUGAAAAUUCAUCAGGUAUAAUUGAACGUGACAAAUUCCGGCCUGGAUAGAACUAAAUAAUCGACAGGAGGUCAUUCUAUGUGUGAAAAGAGCGAAGGAUUCGUGGCUUUAUCGUUAAAGUGUUUACCAAGAACUGUUCCCCGAACCGUUCCGACUAAACCUGCAGUCAUCGAGAUCUCAACUAUAGCACCUUCGUAGCUUGGCAAACUUCCACGACGAACGAAUAUCAACGAACAGUCAUAGGGUCGAUUUAAAAAUAGGAUGGUGGCUCGUCCUUAGAGCCCACGUUACUUAAAUACAGGUUUUCGCACAAGAAAUCACGCUUCGGG